This 306-nucleotide unclassified non-coding RNA is filed under the name Hevea brasiliensis (rubber tree). Lineage: Eukaryota; Viridiplantae; Streptophyta; Magnoliopsida; Malpighiales; Euphorbiaceae. The record is from RNAcentral.
AUGAGUAUUAUCUUCGUAGCUGUGUCUUACCAUUUAGCUAGCUGUUCGAGCUUCUUGACUUCUUUGGACUAUGAUGCAACGAUACGUUGUCAAUGUGUAAGUGUGUUAUAUGUCAAUGUGCCUUCUGUUGUCACACAGAUGUUACAAGAGUCAAUGAGGUCAUAGUUACGCGUAUUGCUAAGUUUAAACUAUUAUGCAACGAUACGUUGUCAUAUGGUAGCAUCAAGAUCGAGUUUCAUGGUACAUGUUUUGCUCUGUCACUUUAUCUUGACGAGUCUUCUUCCUUCUGUUUACUUUAUAAUCUAG